Molecule: long non-coding RNA, 427 nt
Filed under: Mus musculus (house mouse)
Lineage: Eukaryota; Metazoa; Chordata; Mammalia; Rodentia; Muridae
Description: long non-coding RNA chr2:15481909-15482336
Source: RNAcentral
CGUGCCCAAGAAUAAAAGGAAAAGGAGGUAAAAACCGGCAUAGAGGGAAGAAUGAGAAUGAAUCUGAAAAGCUAGAGCUUGUGUUCAAGGAGAAUUGGCAAGAAUAUGCUCAAGUAAUCAAAAUGUUAGAAAACGGAUGAUUGGAAGCCAUGUAUUUUGAUGGUGUAAAGAGAUUAUGCCACAUCAGAGGGAAAGUGAGAAAAAAGGUUUGGAUAAAUACCUCAGGUAUUAUAUUGGUGUGCCUCCGAGAUUACCAUGACAACAAAGUUGAUGUCAUUUUAAAAUACAACACUGAUGAAGCUAGAAUUCUCAAGGCCUAUGAAAAGCUUCCAGAGCAUGCUAAAAUCAAUGAAACUGAUACAUUUGGUUCUGGAGAUGAUGAAAUUCAGUUUGAUGACAUUGGGGAUGAUGAAGAAGACAUCGAUGA